UUUAAGAGCUCUCCUCAAUGGCUUUCUAUCUAGAUAGUUUCUGGUUUUAUCGGGAGAGAGGUUGUCACAGAGGCCUUCUAUGUCUCUCAUUCUCGACUGUGUGUCUGCAGUGAUCAAUACCACUGCAAAAGAAGCCUUGCCCUUUACAGUCCUUGGAAGCAUGAACCAUGGGCAUCCCCAUGGCCUCAGGCACCAGCAUGGAGCACAGACCUCAGUGUGGUCUCCGGCAGCAGAAUAAACCAUGGACAUCAACAUGACCCUCAGCUGUACCAUGGACAAUGGACACUAUCAUGGCCCUUGGUGGUAGCACAAGACAAGGACAUCAACAUGGCUUCAGGUGGCAGCAUAGACCAUGGAAAUCCACAUAGCCUUAGGUACUAACAUGGGCCAUGGACAUCAUAUGAUCCUCCGAUUUCCAGCAACAGCAGGACCACACACACAUCAACAUCCAUCCCCACCCUAUCCCAGUCCUCUUAUAGGUCUGGUGCCCUCUGGGGUUUAGUGUCUUCUAUUCUACUGACUCAGAAUAAGCUUAUGAUUUUUGUAGGAGGCUACUCCUGUCAUCUGGAAGUGUGGAAUAGCGGAAAAGUGAUCCAGUGUCCACAUCAUGCCCUCCGUUGGCCUGUCUCACAUGCAGCAUCUCCAAGUUCAGGGUCUCUGAGUGUCUAGGGAGAAGGUGGCUCUCAGCAACUCCCUGCUUCCCUGCUAGGCCAUUCUCUCUUAACGUCACUAUGAGCACUCUUGUCUUUCUGAAGCCCUUUAAUUAUAACUUUGUUAUUUUAGUGUGUGUGUGUGAGGGUGUGCGAGUGUGUGCACAGGUAUGGGUGCUGAGAAUAACUCUGGGUGCUCUUCCUCAUGUACAGUUUACCUUUGCCUUGAGUCAAUGUCUCUCACUGGCCUGGGUCUCACCAAGUGGGUUAUUUGGGCUGCCUGGUGAACCCCGGGGAUCUCUUGUCACUGCCUCCUCACUCCUGGGAUUAGAAACUCGUGCCACUGGCUUUGUCACAUGAACUCUGGAGAUCCAAACUCAGGCCCUCAGGCUUGUGUGACAAAUGACUUGUCCACUGGGCCAUCUCUCCAGCUGUAUUUUAUGGUUUUACAGGUGUUUAGUAGACUAGGUAACAUGCAUGCUCAGUUUUCAUGGAUCCUCCCUUCUGUUCCCUUCAAAAACAUUGAUUUUAUUUUCUGUGUGUACUUGUGUGCCUGAGGGCAUCAGUAAGUGAAGAAACCUAUGGAGGUCAGAGUCUCAGAACUAGCAUUGCAGAUGGUUAUGAGGUGCCAUGUGGGCUCUGGGAACUGAACCUAGUCUUCUGCAAGAGCAGCAAGCAUUCUUACAGGCUAAGCCACGCCUCCAGUCUCCCCAUACAUCCUUUUUGUCUUUUCUUAUGGAUUAAAUCAUGUCACCUCCAACUUCACGCACUAAGGCUGGAAUCUGCAGUACCUCCGGUGAUCUUUCAAUAUAUAAUGUUGAUCUUAAUGCUGAGGUCAUACUGGAGUGAGCUCCAAUCAACAUGGCUAGCAUCCUCAUACAGGGGAAAUCUGGGCACAGGAAUGCACAGCAAGAACAUAUAUGAAGAUGAACACGGAGACACACAGGAAGAAUACAAAGGUAGACACAGGCAUGCACAGGAACAAUGCACAAGAAGAUACUUGGAUGUGUGCACCAAGGCAGUGCUGAGCUGGAUCCUUGGUAACAGGAAAGAAAAACCUGAGAAAACGGAGUCAGGCUUUAUAGCACUACUGCACCUGGUCAGGAAACUCCCUGCAGCCUGCCUUCUGACUUAGAGAACCUCCAACGUCACCAGUCACUCACACCUGCUCCCUUCCCCAACAAAAGGUUCUUCAGUGUGUCCAUUUCUCUCCGGGAUGAACUGGAUCAUGAAGGAAGGGACAACAGAUGGCAGUGUGACUUCUUCAAAGAUCAUCACCCCUUUGGAAAUGCAGUCUCCCCUUCCCCCAAUGUCACUG
Long non-coding RNA from Mus musculus (house mouse), 1968 nucleotides. RefSeq annotates it as predicted gene, 32479. The transcript is spliced from 4 exons. The record is from RefSeq and is a predicted model, not a curated record. Lineage: Eukaryota; Metazoa; Chordata; Mammalia; Rodentia; Muridae.